RNAcentral lists this ribosomal RNA (478 nucleotides) under uncultured bacterium. Its description in RNAcentral is "bacterial SSU rRNA". It matches the Rfam family "Bacterial small subunit ribosomal RNA", at positions 30 to 506 of the family's 1533-position model. The record is from RNAcentral.
UUGAACGCUGGCGGCAUGCUUUACACAUGCAAGUCGAACGGUAGACCCUUUCGGGGGUUGAGAGUGGCGAACGGGUGAGUAAUGCAUCGGAACAUACCCAGUCGUGGGGGAUAACGUAGCGAAAGUUACGCUAGUACCGCAUGAGUCCUGAGGGAGAAAGCGGGGGAUCGCAAGACCUCGCGCGAUUGGAGUGGCCGAUGUCAGAUUAGCUAGUUGGUGGGGUAAAGGCCUACCAAGGCGACGAUCUGUAGCGGGUCUGAGAGGAUGAUCCGCCACACUGGGACUGAGACACGGCCCAGACUCCUACGGGAGGCAGCAGUGGGGAAUUUUGGACAAUGGGCGAAAGCCUGAUCCAGCCAUGCCGCGUGCGGGAAGAAGGCCUUCGGGUUGUAAACCGCUUUCAGCAGGAACGAAACGGUGGCUACUAAUACUAGCUACUAAUGACGGUACCUGAAGAAGAAGCACCGGCUAGCUACGU